AUGAACGCUAGCGGCAGGCUUAACACAUGCAAGUCGAGGGGUAUAGUUCUUCGGAACUAGAGACCGGCGCACGGGUGCGUAACGCGUAUGCAAUCUACCUUUUACAGAGGGAUAGCCCAGAGAAAUUUGGAUUAAUACCUCAUAGUAUGUGAGAAUCGCAUGAUUUUCACAUUAAAGUUCCAACGGUAAAAGAUGAGCAUGCGUCCCAUUAGCUAGAUGGUAAGGUAACGGCUUACCAUGGCGACGAUGGGUAGGGGUCCUGAGAGGGAGAUCCCCCACACUGGUACUGAGACACGGACCAGACUCCUACGGGAGGCAGCAGUGAGGAAUAUUGGACAAUGGGCGCAAGCCUGAUCCAGCCAUGCCGCGUGCAGGAUGACGGUCCUAUGGAUUGUAAACUGCUUUUGUACAGGAAGAAACACUCCCUCGUGAGGGAGCUUGACGGUACUGUAAGAAUAAGGAUCGGCUAACUCCGU
This 476-nucleotide ribosomal RNA is filed under the name uncultured bacterium. RNAcentral's name for it is "bacterial SSU rRNA". It matches the Rfam family "Bacterial small subunit ribosomal RNA", at positions 29 to 506 of the family's 1533-position model. The record is from RNAcentral.